AUAUUAACCUAACGUAGAAUUUUUACGAAUAGACUAUAGAUAAAUUGCAACCAUGGAUACUAUCGUACGCUCAUAAACUUGGCUAUCUUAAAGUUUACAUUUCCAAUGUAAAAUUAUGAUUUAAUAUCCAUGAACCUAAAUGUUCACAAUUGGAAACAUAUUGCAAAUACAUUUCUGCUAACAUA
Long non-coding RNA from Bombus pyrosoma, 185 nucleotides. RefSeq lists it as uncharacterized. The record is from RefSeq and is a predicted model, not a curated record. Lineage: Eukaryota; Metazoa; Arthropoda; Insecta; Hymenoptera; Apidae. The transcript is spliced from 2 exons.